GGGUUCACUCCUACAGCUGUGUUUCAGCAGAGAAUAUAUACAGACAAGUAACUGUCAUAUACCUGAUGGUCUUACAUCCAAGGCUCAGCAUCUCUAGGCCCUGAGUUACACAGAAUCAAUUUGUGAUAGAUGAUUUUGAAGUCUGUCUUUUUCCAUGUCUCCUGUUAAUACAGAAUUCAUUGCUUGUUCCCAUGUCAUGCUGUAUCUAGCACUUUCUCUGUUUCUCUCUGUGUCUCUGUCUCUGUCUCUGUCCCUCUCUCUCUCUCUCUCUGUCUCUCUGUCUCUCUCUCUCUCAUUUGAUCUAGGAGUCAUGUGCACUUACCCUUUGGCAUAAUUCCAGUCUUGUCAUAAUUCUAGGCUUUCCAUGAUGGAAGGCUGUAGUAACAGUCUACAUAGGCUACCCCCAAACUCACUGGGCAUUACAGUGAACUCUGGCUUCUUCUGCCUCUACCUUCCUGGUGCCAGGAUUACUGGUAUAAACCACCAUGUCUGGUUUUAUGUAGCUAUGAGGAUCAAACCCAUUAUACAUGCUCGGCAAACACUUUACCAACUGGGAUACUUUGCCAGUCCCUAAAGCUGUAAUUCCAACCUUGGAUGAAGAUGCAGAAGCAGUGGGUAGCUGACCUUCUAUUUCUUACUGGCUACCCUUUCCAAGUCCCCUGGAUUUGGACCCCCCCCCCAUUCUGAAACAGAGGAUAGGGCAUGAGGAGGAUACAGUUAAGUGCAGGUAAGACUUUCAAAUGUCAUAAGAGUUGAGUACAAAGAAAACUAAAGGCUCUGGAUGUUCAAAUAAUUGUUCUUUUCCCUCACUUAGUUAUUUGAAAGAGAAUGUUGAAGAAUAUGCUAACUUAUCUGGCUAUGUUUGUUGAAGGGGGGAUGUUCUAGAACUCUCCCCGCCAAGUAAAAUCAUAAUCAGGCUUUGUGGAAAGACCUGAGUCAUCUUGGAGCAUUCUUGGGGAUGGGGGUUAAUGAGAAUUUGGUCCUUACUGCAAGGGUAAUUACUUGGGAUGAGCCAUAGCUGGUUCAACUUCCUAUCAAACUCCCCUGAAAACCCUGCAGUCUACCAUCCUCCAGGCAAAACUCAUUUACAUUUUUUAUCUCCCUACAGUCGGGUAUGAAAUUCCAGCGGUCAUGUUCAGGCAUAGCUUAACACAAGAGUCACCUCGGUGAGCAACAGCUUAAUUUUCAGUGACAUUUUGAGUCUGCCUAUCUGGGCUCGUGGAGACUUCUCUAGUGUGACAUGUUCAUUCUAGUGAGUCAAGCUUAGUGUUGAAGAUACUGAUUUGAAAAUUAAAUGUGGUUUUAUUACAUGGGGUACCUCUGUCCAGGCAAAGAAGGUGGCCUCUUUUCUUCUCCUCAUAGAGAUGCCAGAAGGAACUGUGACUCUCCCCUUGCUGGGGAUGAGUUGUAUUGUGUGGGGUGAGGGGGUAACCCCAUUUGGGAAGCUGAUGGGCCUGUUCCUAGAGGCUGGCCAGCUCUGCCUCUCCUUCAUUGUGUGAUUAACCUCUCCACCAUGGGGAAGAGAGAGGGGAUGUACUACAUUGACUUCCCUCUUUCGUGAAGAUCAGUGCUAAAGUGAUGGUUAUUAUUACUCUACUGUUGGCCAACUCACCAGGGGUAGAUUUGACCUGACUCACCUGGGGUUAUUCUAAUUUCUGUAUUGAGAAGUGAGGUACCCCCUUAAAGACCCAUAUUUUCAGUAAGUGCUUCCAUAAUUCUGCCUGGUUCACAACUCUGGGUUACUGGGUGAAAUGCAUUUUCCACUUGGAUUUCCAACUGUUGCUUAGAAUCUAAGUAGUGUGGGGUAAGAAGGAGAAAAUGAACUGGAUAGUAAGACUUCACAAAUAGAAGAAAUACCUGAGAGGAAGAGAGGCUGGGUAUAAGAUUAAAGAUGCAGAUACUCAAUGUGCACCGGGCCCUGUGGGAGAUGCAGACAGAAUGUCUUUAGGAGUUAGAGUCUAGAGCUGGGAGGAAAUCUUCUGUAGUGCUUUACUUACAGACCAGGGGACCUGAGUUCAAUGCUAGCACACAUGGAGAAUAGCCAGGCCUUAUGGUACACUUGUAAUCUCAGUGCAGAGACAAGAAGAUCCUUAGAGCUUGUUGCCUGGCCAGCCAGCCCUACUUGCCAAAUUUCAGGCCAGUGAGAGAGAUCCUGUCUCAAAACAAUGGGAAAACACCCAGGGUUUUCUUAUGUACACAUGUACACAAACACACAAACACACACACACACAGAGACAGAGAGAGAGAGAGGAAUGCACACACAGUUCCAGUCUCUUUAUUAGUACCCGAAGAGUGAGUGUGCCUGCCCACUUCUCCUCAGUGUGUAAGAAGCCUUGAGGGUCAAGGACCCCAGUCUUUGCUGGAAAUGACAGUGUGUAGUCAUGACCUCUCAAACAGUUUCACUGUAGACUUGUAAUUCUUACUUUACAGACCUAAAAGUAAAAAGGCUUAGUGGAGUCUGGGAACUUGUCUAAGACUCCAGAACAAAAGUGGCAGGUGUUAAGAUCAACUGUCACAUAGGCUUGGUACCAAAUUAUACUCUUUCCUCUACCUACAGAUGGCUUCUAAAGUAUGAGGAAGUUAGAAAUGGGACUGUGGUCUGGAAGAGGUGGCCAGGUGCUGAAGAUCUUUACCCGAGUGACUAACUUCAGAGCAAAGGGCUCGUGAAUGACAAAGUGGAGAAAAGGUCACAAAUGCAGGAAGUUGGGAGCCAUACUACUUAAGGUCAGAGGUUUUAUCAUCAAGAGACUGGUCUUAGUGGACACACACUACUCUUCUGGACUGAAAACCAAGAAGAACUGGAAUGUUUAUUCUGACGUGGCCCUUGGGGAAGAAAGGAGCUAGCGUGACCCUUGCUGCUUUCUCUUGGUGUCUGGACACAGCCUGGAUAUUUCUAUACAGGCUGGAUUUGUUCAUAGCCAAUUUUUCCUCAUUGUUAGGGCUUUCCUCUUGACCACAGCCUCUAGGAGGCAUAACCUUGACAUUUGUGAAAAAACGUACUAAUGUUGCCCUUUGGUUAGGCAUAAGUAGAAAUGGCUCUUUUACUAGUUUCCCUGUCUUAAAGCAAACACUGCCCCACCUCCCCCAAGCCUAAGCAGAAUAGCUUACAUUCUUUCUUUCCCUCCUAGAAGGCAGAUUAGCACCACCACCUGUGUUGGCUAACAUUCAUGGGAUUCAGCAGGAAAAAUAGUAUUAGGCAGGAAAAGCUUCCCCAAAUGCGGUAUGUUAGGAUUAUUUCUUUGGUUGUGAAACUGCUACCUUUGUAUUCAAAGGUGAUGAGACGUUUUCUGGCUAGAACAGAGUUGUCACAGUGAGGUGUCAAGUUCAAAGGAGACCCUGCAAAGAUCUUAACCAGACUUGAGCCAAAGUCUUUGGAGGAAGGCGAGCGAUUGAUGGUCAGGUUUGCUUACAUUUUCUACUUAUACAGUGCAGGGACGAAUGCGAUCAUCCCCUUGCUGAACCACCCCGCCCCUUAUCCUAUGGAAGGUAUUAAUGUGGGCCCUCCUUCCAACUGGAUCUCUGCCAGCUAGCUGGGAGCAGUUCAAUGGCUUCCUCUGUGAGGCAGUAUCAGGGAAGUUGCUAGUGCCUCCAGGUUCAAAGGGCUCUGAGUUGGCUGUGCUGGAUUUGGCAUUUAGAAAGGAGGACACCAUGGGCUGUGUGUUUAACCUUUUGCUGUCUAUAUUUUUUCCUUCUUCUGAAGUGACGGUAGUGGAGGAUUUCUGAGGCAUAUUGAGAAGAUUAGUGAGUUAUGAUUGGUGAUGGGCUUUGAGAUUCUUGGAUGAAAGGUGUUCCACAGCAAUUACACGCACACUUUGUUCUUACAUAGUAUCUUUCUUCCAGGGAACUCAAACUGCUUGAUAAAAAUUAUUUCAUUAAUCCUCACAGUGUCCCUCUAGUGAUUGUUAUCCCCUGUUUUCAUAUCAGGGAUCUGGAACACAGUAAGUAAAGUGACAUGGCUAAGGUGGCCCAGCAGGUCACUGGUAACGUCAACAGUGGGAUGCAGAUCUGGUCCAUUCCUCCAUCAAUUCAUUCAUUUGCCAACUAUUUGACCAUAUUUAUAGGUCAGACACUGGAGCUAUUGAAAAUAAAGAACAUUAUUGGAAAUUAAGUAAGACAUAUUCUCUGUCAUUGAAGAGAUGGAGUCUGUACACUUGAGUUGGAAGAUAAAUGGCGGUGUGACACAGCCAGUCCAUCACAAAGGAUACUUAAAUCAAGUGUGCAUCCAAAGUAGUCAAAAGGAAAGAGAAACAAAAGUACAAACAAAAUGCCAAAUAAGUAACUCUGGGUGACAAAGGAUGUCAUAUGAGCGAGUACAUCACCAGUAGAAAAAAACAUGCCAAAGAAACAUGUCUCAAACAGGAGCAUGAAGGAGCAUGGGAAACUCCCAUGGACCAAGAGACACUCCUGGCUGGGGGAGGGCAAAGCCAGUGUUAAGAGUAGAGAAGCAGCCUAAGCAGUCUGAACUUUAUAUGUGAGGCAACUGAGCAGCUUCAGUGGCUGCUCAAGGAAAGGGAACAAGGUUCCCAUCACAAGGAGUGUUCUCUUGUCUGAAGUUGCACUUUUUACAGAUUCAUCUUACCUGGAGUGAAAUAUGUCCUGCAAACAGAAAGUGGAAAUAUCACAUAGAAACAGUUUGUGAAUUUUAAGCUGCAGCCUUUCUGAGGGUCAAAGGUAAUAUUGUAUCAUUGUCCUGUGUCCCACAAGGGAUACACAUCAUUUCUUUGCCUGGAGUAUCUACCUGCCCAUUAAUCACUUACUGGCCAUCUUAGUGAUCAGGUCAGGUAUCAUGAUGUUGCCUCAUUUGUGUUCAAGUACCCCUUCUUUUAUACAACCUCAAAUACAAUAGUAGUGACCUUGGCUAUUUUCAUUCUUAAAGAGAACUGUAUAGUGCUUCCUUUAAGUAUCAUUCCUAGAAGGUUAAGUAGAGUGGAAUGAGGUGACAGAUGUGUAUGACUUCAUUAUAGUAUUGUAUCUGUUAUUGUUCAUCUCUUGUCAUGCCUGCUCCACAAAAUAAUGUUUGUCACAGUACACACAGUGCACACAGAGUCUGGGACUAUCCCUGCUUUCAGACAUCAAGUGGAGGACAGGCCUUGUAUUAUAUUCCCUGUGAAAGAAGUCUUCUGGUAGCUGAUUGUUAGGAAGUCUGUAUAUGGAAGAGCCUGUCUAAAUGUCAGAAAGACAUCUCCCUGACACAGCCUAUCCAGCCACUGGGCCAUCUCCUCUGUAUGAUUUAUUCUGUGUGUGUGUGUGUGUGUGUUUCUGGGGUUUAAACCAAAGAGAGUUGAACAGGUGGUCUUGGCAGGUGGUCUACCAGUGAACUAUCCAGUUGUCUUCUCAGCUUCUUAUUUUGAGGCAGAGCCUUAAUCAGUUGAACAGGCAGGUCUUGAGCUUACUCGGUAGCCCAGGCUGGCCUUGAACUUGUAAUCCUCUGCCUGUGUGUUCUAUGGAAGUAGAACUAGGCCACUAGGCCAAGUUCUCCUCUGUGGUUUUAGGACACAGAGCUCCAGUGCUGUUUUGAAAUUCUCCAUGGGAAUGUCAAGAAAACAGCUGCAACAAUGCUCCUUCAUGGCUACUGUGUUUUCUCAUCUCGAGAAGCACAGAACUGUCUUUUUAAAAUCAAAUGAUCUAUAACACAGCUUUUCAAUGAUGGUGCAGUGAGUGACUGCCACUCUUUUGCUUUGAAAUCCAUCAGGCAAAGUGGUUGAGUCUACAUCAAUUACUCAUUAUAGCAGAACAUGAGUCUUUGUUAUACUGUUUGUUAAGUAUCUCUCCAAAUUAGAUACAAGAGAACGAUCUUCAAUGCAAAAGAGUGUUGAUUUUUUAUUUCCCGUGAUUAACCAUUCUGUGAUUAGACAUAUUUAUUUUUAUUUUCACUCAUGCUUAUAACCAUGAAGUCAAAUUUAAGAAUGCGUCCCUGAUCACUUGUAUUUUGCUUUCUUUUCUUUCUUUCCUUUUUUUUUUUUCCUUGUCAAGAUUUCUUUUAAACAUCUGUCAGGAAAAAAAUUAGAAAAGUCAUUUUGCUGUGUUAGAGGCACUGAAAUGUUUUCCAGGUGUGAAUGGAUGCAGUUCUAUAGGCUACUAUGGGAUGAAAGAGGAAGGUGUUAGAAUCCUAGUUGUCUGAACGGAAUCCCUUGGCUUUUGAGAUAGGAAAGACACCAAUUCAAGAUAUCCUACAAAAUUAAAUCCUGACAUGUGACCAAAAACUGUAUUUUAACGAAUCAUUUUAUUUGUUUAUAUCUCUAUGUGAGUGUGGAGGGGGGGCGUCAGAGGACAAUUGUGGGAUUUGGUUCACUCCCUCUACUAUGUAAGUCUCAGGGACUAAAGUCAGGUGGUCAGACUUGACAGAAAGUGACUUGAACUUCAAACAAUCAGCCUCACUGGAUCCUUCUAUACAUUGGGUAUGUGAGAAUCACAGCUUGACCAUUUAGCCAGUGGCUUAUUUAAAGGCUAUACAAAGUAAGUGUGCUGCUUGUCCUUCCAUACAAUGAGUGUAUUGACUAGGAUAGGCAACAUUAUGCUGGCGGGUGAAGCAUCCAGGUAGCCCCAUGUGUGAUAAUAGAUGUGUAAUUCUUACUGGCGCAUAGCUUAUGGCAAGGCUGGGAGACUGCAGUGUGCUGCGGUUGAGGGUACGGGUCUGAGUUUCCUCUUCCUAGCAGCAUGCGCUUUUCACUAUUUCGUGGUGGCGACUGAUGAGAAUGUUCUUCUUUGUAUAUGUUUGCCUUAUUGGUUGAUGAAUGAAACACUGAUUGGCCAAGCAGCAUGAUAGGUAGGACUAGGAAACAAGGAGGAUUCUGGGAAAUGUAGGCAGAGAGGAGUCAUCAGAUGAUCCCAGGAAGUGACGUAGGUGAGCAGAAACGGCCACUAGCUAACCAUAGAGGCCUAGAGGUCUGUACAGACAGGCAGGAAGUGACAUAGUUGGGCCGAAUCAGUAUAUAAGUAAUGAAAAACAGGAAAUCACUCUCUUCUCUGCAAGACAUGUAAGAUACCAUAGGAGAAACAGGUUCCCGGAUCUUUUUCCAGUAAGAGAAGAACGCAUGGAAACACUUGGAUUUAUAGAAAAUGGGUUGAUAAUUAAGUCAGAACUAGCCAAUAAGAAACCAUAGCCACCUGUCAACAGUUUCAUAAUUAAUAUAAUGUCCGUGUGCUUCUUUGGGGGCAUAGAAGGGUCGGGGGAAGUUUUCCUAAACUCUGACUCUUCAUUUGAUUGCCAUUUCACUGGCCAAAGCAGGUCACAUAUUCAUGCCCAAUUUCAAGGAGAUGGAAAUUGCAUCCAUUCUGGGUGUCUACAGGAUGAAGCUCACUUUAAAAUAUGAUGCUUACUGAAAGUUAACAUGUAAAUACAAAAUACAUAUUGCCCUUCUCAAACUUGCAUAUUAUUUUGGAAAAUCAAGUAAUUUGUAAUCUGGUGUGCUGUGGGAGGCCAUACUGGUGGUGUUAAUAUGUAUGCUCUGCAAUAAAAAAAAAAGUAUUAGUUGGCUAGUAUUCCUUUACCUAAGCAUAAAUUUUUAAAGUGUCAAGAUUGGAUUGUCUUCUGUCUUUAUUCCUUUAUUGAAGGACUGACAUAGCAGGUACCAAAAUCUUCACAUGUAUUGUAACAUCAAUCAUUCUUUUUUCAUUUUUUACUUAUUGUGCGUAUGUGUGCAUGUGUGUGGAGGUCGGAAGACACCUUGAAGGAGUCAGUUCUCUUCUUCCAUCAUGUGGGAUCUGAGGGCUAAAACAGAUUAUCAGCUUUCACAGCCAGUGCCUUUACCUACUGUGUCAUCUUGCUUGCUCCAAUAAUUUUAACAUCAUAGACAUUCAUAAAAAGAACUAGGACAUCUGAAUUUGCUUUUCUCUAAAGAGAGGGGGAAGUCCCAUUUUUAUCACUUAGAAAAUAUUUAAAAAUUUUCCAUAAUUGGACUUCCAGUUUAUUUUCCAAACUGUAUGUUAAGUAAAAGUAAAAAAAAAAAUCAAAUGCCAUUUUGGAAAGCUUUUCUUUUUUCUUUUUUAAUUUGGGAACGAACUUGGUCAGGGUUAAGUGAAGUCCUUUGUGUUUGAUGUUGUGGGUGAUUUACAUAGAAAUUCCAUUUUGUGAUUGAGUUCAGUUAACCAACUAUAAGAAACCCUAACUUUCUGUGAAGACUGUGCUCUAACUCAUUGUGUUUUGGGAAUCACUAAUGAGCUAUUAUUUGGAAUGUUUAGGUGUUUUAAACUCACAAAAAGAUUGAUGGGAAAAAAUUCCUUAUGAUUUAGUCCACUUAUUUUUUUCCUUAAAUUUGACAAUGUCUGUCAUUCUUUUUAGUGUGUCUCAAGCAACACCUCUUCUUCAUUGGCAAGUAUAUCAGAGGGUGUUUGAUAUAUCCACCUGUUAGCUGCCACCCUUACUUUGAUGUCUGCAAUGUUUCCUCUUGGGUCAUUGUCCCAUUCCUGGCCAUUCCUGCCCACUCUCUCAUGAAUUAUAUAGAAUCAAUGAUUUGUUGUUCUGUUUUGUUUUUACAGAGGCAGAGUUACUACCCAAGAUGCAUGAUGGUCAUUUGAGGCUGUUUUUCUACUAUUUUAGCUCCUUGGGAUCUUAAGAGUCUUCAGAUUUACUUAUAUCUGAAUUCCAGAUGGUUUCCAGCUAAAGUCUUGCUGUGUGGACUUUGUAGGAGUUCUGUCUCACUGGAAAACUAAAAGUAACUGUUCCUGCCAUGCCGAUAUGAGGAUAUGCACAUAAAGAUGAUUCAGCCAUGGAAAGCAGAUCGAGCCUUUCCGAGCCGAGAGUUUGCAGAGAACAUCAGGCUUUGAGAACUGACAACUGGAGUCUAAGGCUGCUCUAGGGAGGAGCCUUGCAUUUUGCAAACAAGAAUUCUUCCUUACCCCUUGGUCAGUCUGUGCAACAAGUAAUCCGGAACGAUGCCAGAGGUAAACAGAGGCGAUAAGGAAAGGGGGGGUCUAUGCAUUUUCGUUUACCUUCCAUAAAGUUCAAACCAUGCAUCAUCUCUAAUGAGCUUGAUAAAGCGCGGCGAGGCAAAUGUGCCAUAAUUCAUCAUGCUUCCUGUUUCAAAAGUGACAGGCCACCUAUGCGAAAAGUCUUCAUUUCAUAACAAUGAAGAUGGAAAAUAAAAAGAGGAAGUGCAAUCAUCACAUUUAAAAUGGCAUCUGCCGAGGAACUCUUAAUAGCCACGUCCAGCAUGGAAAAUUGUCCGGAAUUAGGUUCCGCUUCGUUAAUACUACACCAAAACCUCCUGUUAGUGCCUAUAAAGAAGCAUUCAUUUUUGAAUAUUUUGCUGAAAUCUGGGAGAAGUUUUUUUAAACCUUUGCAAAAUUUUAUGGACAAUGUACUUUCUCAUCUGCAGUUGUUAGAAAGGCACCAUUAGCUUCUGCUAUUCUGUUAGAGUACGACACAAAAUGCUGAGAGGUCUAAAUGAAAUCCAUCCAGUAAAGGACAAUAAUGUACUCGGAGCAAUUUUCUGAGGAUGUUUGCCUAUUUCCAGCAAUGGUUUUACAAGUGCAUCUCCUUUUGCUCAAUGAUUCCCUUUGGAAAUCAGCUGCAUUAUCUUAUAAUACAGACCUGAGCAUCUGAGACCUCACCCAAGAACACAAGAGGGAAUCUUCUGAGACUAUGGGACCGAGUCACAUCCUUAACGCUGCAAAUCAUUCUGCAAGGAGAUGAGGGAGGGUGAAUUGUGCAAAAACCACUGAUGAAAAGAAAUACUGACUCUCAGAACUGCAUGCCCUCCCUACGUAAUCUCAAAAUAUGUCUCUGUAAUGAGUGAAGAAGGAGAUUUGUCUUUAUUAAGAAGUUUAGGGAACAUGUUUAUUUAAAGUUAUAAUCUGCAUGGUAAUGAACAAAUAUCAGGAAUGUUACACAGGGAAAGGAGCUUGUUUUGUUUAGGAUAGGAGAAGUGUAUUUACACAAAGAUUUCAAAUACAGAAACACACUUGGUUCUAAAUAAUUGCAGUUUAUGAAGACUUGAAUCACACACUGAGGAGUGGGGUCAAGGGCUCUGGGCUAAAGAGGAAAGUUUUCUCAGUGGCGCGCUCCAUACAUUAGGAUGCAUUCUGCCUGGUGGAUUGACAGAAAACAGCCCUGUGGGACUUACAGUAAUUGAUUUUAUAUGGUAUGAAUGGAUGCAGAGUCGCAAAGCCAGUUCCAUCAUGGUUACGUCCUUACCAUUGGCCCUCUGUUUAAUGGCAUUCCAGGGACAAACAGCCCAGUCUCUUACCACUGAAUUAUUAAUACGUCAAAUCAUAUUUUAAGUAAACUGUUUUAUUUGGGAGAGGGUCUUCAAGAAGAGUUUCUUUCUUUGAGGUGUUUUAGUCUGAGUUUGAAUUUCUUUGAGUUAUAUCAUGAAACAGAAAAAUGCAAAAAGAGAUUAUUUAAAUCUUUAUGAUCUACCCAUAUUUAUUUUUAUAAUGAAAUGCCAAACUGAGUUCUCACAAAAGUUUAUUCUUUUGUGAUCUCGCCCAAAGAAGUAUUCUAGUAAGGACGAUGGCUCUGUCUUCUUUAUCCUUGCCUAGGCCAAGAAGGUGAAAGCUCUUAACAGUCCUUUCAGAACCUCAGGAGCAGUGCAGGGGGUAAAGAGAGAAACACGGAUUCCUAGCUGUGUAACUGAUUCAGUGGAGUGGUGUACCAGCCUUCCUUCAGGGCCUGGGGGCUAUUCUCCUGGUCGAUAAGCUGGAAGGAAGUACUCAGUUCAAUUAGCUCACUUGACUGACCUCCAUACACACUUCAUGGUCUUUCUUCCUUCCUUCCUUCCUUCCUUCCUUCCUUCCUUCCUUCCUUCCUUCCUUCCUUCCUUCUUUCCUUCCUGUCCCUCUGUUCCCCUUUCCUACUGGAGACUUUUUUUUCUUUUAAGAGAAGGAUAUAGGGCUGGAGAGAUGACUCGACAGUUAAAAGUGCCCUCUACUCUUCAACAGGACCCACGCUUGGUUCCCGGCACUACUCACAGCAACUCUAACUCUAGUUCCAGAGAUUCCGACGCCCUCUUUUGGCCUCUGCAGGUACUGCACACAUUCAGAUACAUGUAGGCAAAACACUCAUGCACAUAACUAAAUACUUUACCAUGACAGCCCAGGAACUGAAGGUUCACUUUCUGACCAUACCCUGUUUAAUCACAGACACUAACUUUCUUGUCCUCCCUUCCUUCUCCUUUUCUUUCUCCUGCUUCUUUCCCGUUUCUCUCUUCUGUUUUUCUUCUUCCUUUUCCUUUCUCCCCUAUCUCCUUUGUCUCUCUCCUCCUUCUCAUCCUCACAUCCUUCUCCCAUUUCCCUUCACAGUCACAGCUGCCAAAGGCUUGCAAGCCAGCCAGAGAAUGCUUUCAUCCCAGGGAGAUGUUACUGGUGAGGGCUCUGACCCAUGGCCCUCUCCCACCUCCCCAUUAACUGAGGUAUGGGGUACAUGCAGGACUCACAUUCCCUACUUCUCCUCCUUUCGAAUUUGUGACCUAAUCACACCCAAUGAGAAAAGGAAGAACGCUUGAGAUGGCGGGAAAUCACAAAACAUCUGUGCUUGUCCAAAUGCCGGCAGCCACAUUAAUGAGUCAGUAUAGCAUCUCGAUUACUACUGGAAGCAAAGUGCCCUAGCUGUAGUACUCAGACAGGGCCAUGGAUAUCCUUUAAAGAGCUGUGGGAAGAAAACUGUGGCUAGCCAACUCUGUCUAAAACAAAAAUAAUUAAAAUUCUUCCUUUGUGAUAAAAUUCAUGUAAAAACUAACUUUGUGGAGCUCCUAGAGGAAGCAGGGGAGAAUUGAAAGUGAUGGCUGGACAGUGAAAUUGUGAGAGCUCUGGGAAAGUAACUUAGCUGAAAGACAAUUGUGGGCUCUAUUUAUUGCCACCACAGCAAGCUGCUUCUCAGGUCCAGAUGGGGAUCAAGAAGUGGGACUCAGCCCUGGGCUUGCUCUGCAAGGGGGAUCAUGGUCUACUUCAAUUAAAACAACUGGAUUCUUGCAUUUGGAACAUAGGAAACCUAAUUACACUCUACACUCUGGUGAAUUCUCCUCAGUCUACCAAACAUAGGGUGGGGCGAGGGACAGUGGCAGAAAACUGAAAGGCCAAAACAGAGAAAAGAGUCCCUAAGACCUAAUGAAUCCAAACUAAACACCUCUCCACAGAAAUGUCAAACAUUUCUCUUAGCACAAAACAAGGCUUAAAGAAUCCCCUCCUUUUGUCUCUGGUCUAAUUCCUUAAGCAGAGAGGGGGAUUUUCCUCUGGGAGUGUUAUUUCACAAAGAAAGAAACAGCAAAUAAACAAAAGACUCUCAAAGAGAGAGAGAGAGUAUAAAUAAAAUUCAUGACUCUUUAAAGAGUUUACCCCGAAAGAAUGAACGUGGAGGGUUAUCACCAUUAAAGCAGCUCGUGAGUGAGAGCAGGGACGGGUUGAUAACCAAAAGGGAUAGGACUUCAUUUCAUGGGCUUCAGGAGAAAAGUGCACCUGCAUGUCUGCAGCGUGCAAACGAAUUACCCGAACUCCUUGUCUUGACUUCAUUUGUUAAUCAUAGUUUUCUUGUAUCUGGAUUUUAGGCGUGUAUUCAACAUAUGAUUUGUUUUUUUUUUAAUUAAAAAAGGCUGCAGGUGAUGUCUGUUGCUGUUUGAUUACAACACAUGAUCCUGAAAGAGUUCUAAGGAAAGGUUCUUUUACCAAAAAACAAAAACAAAACAAAACAAAGUUUUCUUUUCUCUCCUG
Long non-coding RNA from Mesocricetus auratus (golden hamster), 12645 nucleotides. RefSeq lists it as uncharacterized. Lineage: Eukaryota; Metazoa; Chordata; Mammalia; Rodentia; Cricetidae. The record is from RefSeq and is a predicted model, not a curated record. The transcript is spliced from 2 exons.